GCCGGGGUGGCGAAAUUGGCAGACGCAAGGGACUUAAAAUCCCUCGGAUAUUUUUAUCCGUGCCGGUUCGACUCCGGCCCUCGGCACUA
Molecule: transfer RNA, 89 nt
Filed under: Candidatus Zhuqueibacterota bacterium 4572_119
Lineage: Bacteria; Pseudomonadati
Description: candidate division KSB1 bacterium 4572_119 tRNA-Leu
Rfam family: tRNA
About the family: Transfer RNA (tRNA) molecules are approximately 80 nucleotides in length. Their secondary structure includes four short double-helical elements and three loops (D, anti-codon, and T loops).
Source: RNAcentral